GAGGACGAAUUUGUGGAGUUGGAUGAUAUUGCAAUCAGUCGCGCCCCACGGAUACGAACUUCUGGAUCUUUCGUGGAGGCAAACACAAUUAUGCUCCCAACUGAAGGCGUGAAGCAAGAGUACAGGCAACAACAGUUGCCACAUGGAUGGCUUCACAAAAUGGAUCCACUGGAGCCAGUUUUGUUGUUUGCAAAACCUCUGAUUACCGAGAAGUUGGCAGCUGCAGCUAUAGUACCGCCAUCAGAUUCUUCGACGAGGAAUAG
This 263-nucleotide unclassified non-coding RNA is filed under the name Hevea brasiliensis (rubber tree). Lineage: Eukaryota; Viridiplantae; Streptophyta; Magnoliopsida; Malpighiales; Euphorbiaceae. The record is from RNAcentral.